UCCGCCGGAAGAAGUCUACUCAUCUCCACAAGAUCUUAUCCAGAUUUCUUCUAUUUUGCUGGCCAUUUGGUUUCCAGUCGUUCAAAUCUAAGAUGGAGGUUUGGACGUUUGAAGAAAUACAUAAUGCCUUAAAUUAUGCUUCUCAAAACCAUGGAAAGCACAACUAGCUAGGGAAAGCAAAGGUAAUUGCAUUAUGGAGUUAUAAUUUGCUACUACUUUUAGGUCUUGAAUGAGUAGCAUAGCAAUGUGUACUAUUUACCCCAUGUCUACUCAAGUGAUGGCUACACUGCUCAAGAGCAUAUCAUUGAAGGGAUAGGGUUAAUGACAAAUAUGAAGAGGGUCGUGACAUAAGUCAUCUUUUUGAAUUCAUGUUUGGGAAUAUUGAUGGUUUUGGUGAUCUUGAUAUUGAUAACCUUGAUGAGAGGAGCGUCUUGCUACCCUAGCUUAUAUACUUGGAUCAUAUUUUAACAUAUAUGAUAUUAUAAGUGGAUACUGAUUGAACAAUACGAGGAAUGAGAAAUCCAAGCGUUGACCGAGGAAGACUAUCUCAUACCAAAAUCCGAUUAUGUUUCUACAACAGUAACUUCAUCGUUAGUUACAUCAUCUACAUUGUUUUGAUGAUGAAAAUUAUGAUGAAGAAGAAUUACUGAACAAAUUACGUGUGAUGUGAUAUGUGAUGUGAUAUGUAAUGUCAUUUAUAUUUCGAUUAUUUAUAAUGU
RNAcentral lists this long non-coding RNA (719 nucleotides) under Helianthus annuus (common sunflower). RNAcentral's name for it is "hypothetical non coding rna". Lineage: Eukaryota; Viridiplantae; Streptophyta; Magnoliopsida; Asterales; Asteraceae. The record is from RNAcentral.